Non-coding RNA from Pelobates cultripes (western spadefoot toad), 340 nucleotides. NCBI's taxonomy places the organism in Eukaryota, Metazoa, Chordata, Amphibia, Anura, Pelobatidae. The record is from the annotation of a GenBank genome assembly.
AUAUCAUCUGGUCAUCAUGCAUCUACCAUUUAGUCAUUCACCUUGAGCAUCCAGUGUCAGCCAUGAUCAAAUUUGCAUGUUAUCAUUUGAAACUAUGUAGCACAACUAAAUAAAUCUGAAGAGUAAAAGACCUACCCACCAAUUCAAACUUUUAUAUUCAUGCAACCAAGUGGUUUUAUUACAUAAUGCUUGAGGAACUGUUACUUUGUGUGGGUGGAUGCCCAGCGUAAAUAGUUAUGGUCAAUUGGUCAAUUGUAGCACAACCACAGCUCUGUGUGCAACGAAGAUGAGGGAUCCAACACUUGGUCCCAUGUGCUGUCUACGAGCACUCCCAUCCUGG